RNAcentral lists this ribosomal RNA (497 nucleotides) under uncultured bacterium. RNAcentral's name for it is "partial 16S ribosomal RNA". It matches the Rfam family "Bacterial small subunit ribosomal RNA", at positions 28 to 507 of the family's 1533-position model. The record is from RNAcentral.
GAUGAACGCUGGCGGCGUGCCUAAUACAUGCAAGUCGAGCGAACGGACGAGAAGCUUGCUUUUCUGAUGUUAGCGGCGGACGGGUGAGUAACACGUGGAUAACCUACCUAUAAGACUUGGAUAACUUCGGGAAACCGGAGCUAAUACCGGCUAAUAUUUUGAACCGCAUGGUUCAUAAGUGAAAGACGGUCUUGCUGUCACUUAUAGCUGGAUCCGCGCUGCAUUAGCUAGUUGGUAAGGUAACGGCUUACCAAGGCAACGAUGCAUAGCCGACCUGAGAGGGUGAUCAGCCACACUGGAACUGAGACACGGUCCAGACUCCUACGGGAGGCAGCAGUAGGGAAUCUUCCGCAAUGGGCGAAAGCCUGACGGAGCAACGCCGCGUGAGUGAUGAAGGUCUUCGGAUCGUAAAACUCUGUUAUUAGGGAAGAACAUAUGUGUAAGUAACUGUGCACAUCUUGACGGUACCUAAACAGAAAGCCACGGCUAACUACGUG